AAAUGAAUUGACGGGGACCCGCACAAGCAGCGGAGCAUGUGGUUUAAUUCGAAGCAACGCGAAGAACCUUACCAAGACUUGACAUCGUAUGACCACUAUAGAGAUAUAGGAUUCUGUAGCAAUACAGACAUAUAGACAGGUGGUGCAUGGUUGUCGUCAGCUCGUGUCGUGAGAUGUUGGGUUAAGUCCCGCAACGAGCGCAACCCCUAUGACUAGUUGCCAAUAUUAAGUUAGGAACUCUGGUCAGACUGCCGUGGAUAACACGGAGGAAGGUGGGGACGACGUCAAAUCAUCAUGCCCCUUACGUCUUGGGCUACACACGUGCUACAAUGGCUACUACAAAGAGCAGCGAACUAGUAAUAGCAAGCGAAUCUCAAAAAGGUAGUCUCAGUUCGGAUUGUGGGCUGCAACCCGCCCACAUGAAGUCGGAGUUGCUAGUAAUCCCGAAUCAGAAUGUCGGGGUGAAUGCGUUCCCGGGUCUUGUACACACCGCCCGU
RNAcentral lists this ribosomal RNA (497 nucleotides) under uncultured bacterium. Its description in RNAcentral is "bacterial SSU rRNA". It matches the Rfam family "Bacterial small subunit ribosomal RNA", at positions 903 to 1397 of the family's 1533-position model. The record is from RNAcentral.